GAUGAACGCUGGCGGCGUGCCUAAUACAUGCAAGUCGAGCGAACAGACGAGGAGCUUGCUCCUUUGACGUUAGCGGCGGACGGGUGAGUAACACGUGGGUAACCUACCUAUAAGACUGGGAUAACUUCGGGAAACCGGAGCUAAUACCGGAUAAUAUUUCGAACCGCAUGGUUCGAUAGUGAAAGAUGGCUUUGCUAUCACUUAUAGAUGGACCUGCGCCGUAUUAGCUAGUUGGUAAGGUAACGGCUUACCAAGGCAACGAUACGUAGCCGACCUGAGAGGGUGAUCGGCCACACUGGAACUGAGACACGGUCCAGACUCCUACGGGAGGCAGCAGUAGGGAAUCUUCCGCAAUGGGCGAAAGCCUGACGGAGCAACGCCGCGUGAGUGAUGAAGGUCUUCGGAUCGUAAAACUCUGUUAUUAGGGAAGAACAAACGUGUAAGUAACUGUGCACGUCUUGACGGUACCUAAUCAGAAAGCCACGGCUAACUACGUGCCAGCAGCCGCGGUAAUACGUAGGUGGCAAGCGUUAUCCGGAAUUAUUGGGCGUAAAGCGCGCGUAGGCGGUUUUUUAAGUCUGAUGUGAAAGCCCACGGCUCAACCGUGGAGGGUCAUUGGAAACUGGAAAACUUGAGUGCAGAAGAGGAAAGUGGAAUUCCAUGUGUAGCGGUGAAAUGCGCAGAGAUAUGGAGGAACACCAGUGGCGAAGGCGACUUUCUGGUCUGUAACUGACGCUGAUGUGCGAAAGCGUGGGGAUCAAACAGGAUUAGAUACCCUGGUAGUCCACGCCGUAAACGAUGAGUGCUAAGUGUUAGGGGGUUUCCGCCCCUUAGUGCUGCAGCUAACGCAUUAAGCACUCCGCCUGGGGAGUACGACCGCAAGGUUGAAACUCAAAGGAAUUGACGGGGACCCGCACAAGCGGUGGAGCAUGCGGUUUAAUUCGAAGCAACGCGAAGAACCUUACCAAAUCUUGACAUCCUUUGACCCUUCUAGAGAUAGAAGUUUCCCCUUCGGGGGACAAAGUGACAGGUGGUGCAUGGUUGUCGUCAGCUCGUGUCGUGAGAUGUUGGGUUAAGUCCCGCAACGAGCGCAACCCUUAAGCUUAGUUGCCAUCAUUAAGUUGGGCACUCUAAGUUGACUGCCGGUGACAAACCGGAGGAAGGUGGGGAUGACGUCAAAUCAUCAUGCCCCUUAUGAUUUGGGCUACACACGUGCUACAAUGGACAAUACAAAGGGCAGCGAAACCGCGAGGUCAAGCAAAUCCCAUAAAGUUGUUCUCAGUUCGGAUUGUAGUCUGCAACUCGACUACAUGAAGCUGGAAUCGCUAGUAAUCGUAGAUCAGCAUGCUACGGUGAAUACGUUCCCGGGUCU
This 1372-nucleotide ribosomal RNA is filed under the name uncultured bacterium. Its description in RNAcentral is "bacterial SSU rRNA". It matches the Rfam family "Bacterial small subunit ribosomal RNA", at positions 28 to 1381 of the family's 1533-position model. The record is from RNAcentral.